GACGAACGCUGGCGGCGCGCCUAACACAUGCAAGUCGAACGAGCGAGAGAGAGCUUGCUUUCUCGAGCGAGUGGCGAACGGGUGAGUAACGCGUGAGGAACCUGCCUCAAAGAGGGGGACAACAGUUGGAAACGACUGCUAAUACCGCAUAAGCCCACGGUGCCGCAUGGCACAGAGGGAAAAGGAGCAAUCCGCUUUGAGAUGGCCUCGCGUCCGAUUAGCUAGUUGGUGAGGUAAUGGCCCACCAAGGCGACGAUCGGUAGCCGGGCUGAGAGGUUGAACGGCCACAUUAAGACUGAGACACGGCCCAGACUCCUACGGGAGGCAGCAGUGGGGAAUAUUGCACAAUGGGGGAAACCCUGAUGCAGCGACGCCGCGUGGAGGAAGAAGGUCUUCGGAUUGUAAACUCCUGUUGUUGGGGAAGAUAAUGACGGUACCCAACAAGGAAGUGACGGCUAACUACGUG
RNAcentral lists this ribosomal RNA (466 nucleotides) under uncultured bacterium. Its description in RNAcentral is "partial 16S ribosomal RNA". It matches the Rfam family "Bacterial small subunit ribosomal RNA", at positions 28 to 507 of the family's 1533-position model. The record is from RNAcentral.